This 326-nucleotide ribosomal RNA is filed under the name uncultured eukaryote. RNAcentral's name for it is "partial 18S ribosomal RNA". It matches the Rfam family "Eukaryotic small subunit ribosomal RNA", at positions 1470 to 1796 of the family's 1831-position model. The record is from RNAcentral.
CCCUUAGAUGUCCUGGGCCGCACGCGCGCUACACUGAACGGAUCAGCGCGGUUUCCCUUCCCGAGAGGGACGGGUAACCUGCUGAACCCCGUUCGUGGUAGGGAUCGGGGCUUGCAAUUAUUCCCCGUGAACCAGGAAUGCCCAGUAAGUGCAAGUCAUAAGCUUGCGUUGAUUACGUCCCUGCCCUUUGUACACACCGCCCGUCGCUACUACCGAUUGAACGUUUUAGUGAGGUACUCGGACUGAGCCUCAGAAGAUUCACGUCUUUUGUGCUGCUCGGGAAGAUUCCCAAACUUGAGCGUUUAGAGGAAGUAAAAGUCGUAACA